RNAcentral lists this transfer RNA (76 nucleotides) under Yoonia sp. RNAcentral describes it as "tRNA-Trp". It matches the Rfam family "tRNA". Rfam says of the family: Transfer RNA (tRNA) molecules are approximately 80 nucleotides in length. Their secondary structure includes four short double-helical elements and three loops (D, anti-codon, and T loops). The record is from RNAcentral. Lineage: Bacteria; Pseudomonadati; Pseudomonadota; Alphaproteobacteria; Rhodobacterales; Paracoccaceae. RNAcentral also lists the same sequence under 3 other names.
AGGGGUGUAGCUCAGUUGGUAGAGCGCCGGUCUCCAAAACCGUAGGUCCACAGUUCGAGUCUGUGUACCCCUGCCA